CAGUCGCCACGGUAAUACAGAGGUCUCAAGCGUUGUUCGGAUUCAUUGGGCGUAAAGGGAGCGUAGGCGGUCGGGUAAGUUGGAUGUGAAAUCCUGGGGCUCAACCUCAGAACUGCAUUCAAUACUGCUUGGCUAGAGUAUUGGAGAGGUGAGUGGAAUUCACGGUGUAGCAGUGAAAUGCGUAGAUAUCGUGAGGAAGACCAGCGGCGAAGGCGGCUCACUGGACAAUUACUGACGCUGAUGCUCGAAGGCUAGGGGAGCAAACGGGAUUAGAUACCCGUGUAGUCCCUGUCUCUUAUAC
RNAcentral lists this ribosomal RNA (301 nucleotides) under uncultured bacterium. RNAcentral describes it as "partial 16S ribosomal RNA". It matches the Rfam family "Bacterial small subunit ribosomal RNA", at positions 509 to 807 of the family's 1533-position model. The record is from RNAcentral.